AUUGAACGCUGGCGGCAGGCCUAACACAUGCAAGUCGAACGGUAACAGGAAGCAGCUUGCUGCUUCGCUGACGAGUGGCGGACGGGUGAGUAAUGUCUGGGAAACUGCCUGAUGGAGGGGGAUAACUACUGGAAACGGUAGCUAAUACCGCAUAACGUCGCAAGACCAAAGAGGGGGACCUUAGGGCCUCUUGCCAUCGGGUGUGCCCAGAUGGGAUUAGCUAGUAGGUGGGGUAACGGCUCACCUAGGCGACGAUCCCUAGCUGGUCUGAGAGGAUGACCAGCCACACUGGAACUGAGACACGGUCCAGACUCCUACGGGAGGCAGCAGUGGGGAAUAUUGCACAAUGGGCGCAAGCCUGAUGCAGCCAUGCCGCGUGUAUGAAGAAGGCCUUCGGGUUGUAAAGUACUUUCAGCGGGGAGGAAGGGAGUAAAGUUAAUACCUUUGCUCAUUGACGUUACCCGCAGAAGAAGCACCGGCUAACUCCGUG
Molecule: ribosomal RNA, 490 nt
Filed under: uncultured bacterium
Lineage: Bacteria
Description: partial 16S ribosomal RNA
Rfam family: Bacterial small subunit ribosomal RNA
Source: RNAcentral